Molecule: ribosomal RNA, 433 nt
Filed under: uncultured bacterium
Lineage: Bacteria
Description: partial 16S ribosomal RNA
Rfam family: Bacterial small subunit ribosomal RNA
Source: RNAcentral
AACGAACGCUGGCGGCAUGCCUAACACAUGCAAGUCGAACGAGACCUUCGGGUCUAGUGGCGCACGGGUGCGUCACGCGUGGGAACCUGCCCUUAGGUUCGGAAUAACUCUCCGAAAGGGGUGCUAAUACCGGAUAAUGUCUUCGGACCAAAGAUUUAUCGCCUUUGGAUGGGCCCGCGUUGGAUUAGCUUGUUGGUAGGGUAAAAGCCUACCAAGGCGACGAUCCAUAGCUGGUCUGAGAGGAUGAUCAGCCACACUGGGACUGAGACACGGCCCAGACUCCUACGGGAGGCAGCAGUGGGGAAUAUUGGACAAUGGGCGAAAGCCUGAUCCAGCAAGGCCGCGUGAGUGAUGAAGGCCUUAGGGUUGUAAAGCUCUUUUACCCGGGAUGAUAAUGACAGUGCCGGGAGAAUAAGCUCCGGCUAACUCCGUG